ACCUACGGGGGGCAGCAGUGGGGAAUAUUGGGCAAUGGGCGCAAGCCUGACCCAGCAACGCCGCGUGAAGGAAGAAGGCUUUCGGGUUGUAAACUUCUUUUAAGAGGGACGAAGGAAGUGACGGUACCUCUUGAAUAAGCCACGGCUAACUACGUGCCAGCAGCCGCGGUAAUACGUAGGUGGCAAGCGUUAUCCGGAUUUAUUGGGUGUAAAGGGCGUGUAGGCGGGAGCGCAAGUCAGAUGUGAAAACUCAGGGCUCAACCCUGAGCCUGCAUUUGAAACUGUGUUUCUUG
This 293-nucleotide ribosomal RNA is filed under the name uncultured bacterium. RNAcentral describes it as "partial 16S ribosomal RNA". It matches the Rfam family "Bacterial small subunit ribosomal RNA", at positions 337 to 644 of the family's 1533-position model. The record is from RNAcentral.